AUUCUUAGGGAGGAUCUGGGGUCCAUUGCAGAAUUGGCCACUAGAGAUGGAUGGACAUGUUGUGCCAGAUACUGGCCCCUACCCCAGCUGCUCUGGUGGUGCAGAACAGCUAGAAACCUGUUUCAUCUACUUGCCUGAGAAUCCCACCUCCCUGGGGGAAUCUUCAGGUGGUGAAGAGAUGCAGUAGCAGCUCCUAUGCCAUCACCCUUCUGGAAUAAGAGGUAGUGCUGCCACUAUUAGAAGAAAAACCCCAAACAAACACAAUUAGCAGGACACAAAGGAAUCACACAGGGCAUGAUCUCACUGUAUUGGUUGCACAUCCCACUCUGCUAAAAGCUCUGCCUUUACUAAGAGCGACUGAUAAAUAAUCCAGAGGAUUUUUGGCUCAUUCUGUUAAGCAAUAAUGAUCCCACAGUGCCCAUGUAGUUUUAUCAAUUACUAAACCACAACCUUUUCAGUCGUAUAGUCUCUCGAGGUAAGGAACAUUUUUCAGUGUUUUGGCUUGUCUUAAAGUUUGUCUUUUCUCUUCACUUCCUUUUGAUUUUUAUAAUGACAAUCAGGUGAAUUAAAGACUUAUACUCCCAUCUUUUCAAUUUACCCCAAACAUAUUCAUCUCGCAUUCUGCUCCUGCUUCUGAUUGUUUGUUUCUUGACAUUUAGAUUUGAAUUUCAGUUUUAUUGUAUUUUAGUUUUUGCUGAUUGAUCUU
Molecule: non-coding RNA, 706 nt
Organism: Chrysemys picta bellii (western painted turtle)
Lineage: Eukaryota; Metazoa; Chordata; Testudines; Emydidae
Source: RefSeq, a predicted model, not a curated record